UGUGGUUUUAACUUGUCCUCUGAUCUUUGACAUAGUGUUCAGCAUUCCCAGCUUGGCUCUGUAUGCUGGAUUUGGCUGAAGAUACUCUGUGGAUUUUGACAGAAGUUCUGCUACAGCUUUAUUUGUAACAUCAAUUUUCCUUUCCAUCUCUUGAAAUUCUUCAUCUAAUUUUGUUCCUUCUGCUCCACUUAUCUUUUCACUGAACAACUGGCUGGCUUUGUGAAACUGCUUUUUAAGCCCCG
This 242-nucleotide long non-coding RNA is filed under the name Gallus gallus (chicken). The record is from RNAcentral. Lineage: Eukaryota; Metazoa; Chordata; Aves; Galliformes; Phasianidae.